AGCAUGUGGUUUAAUUCGAAGCAACGCGAAGAACCUUACCAGGUCUUGACAUCCUCUGACAAUCUGAGAGAUCAGACUUUCCCUUCGGGGACAGAGAGACAGGUGGUGCAUGGUUGUCGUCAGCUCGUGUCGUGAGAUGUUGGGUUAAGUCCCGCAACGAGCGCAACCCCUGUGGUUAGUUGCCAUCAUUUGGUUGGGCACUCUAAGCAGACUGCCGUGGAUAACACGGAGGAAGGUGGGGACGACGUCAAAUCAUCAUGCCCCUUAUGACCUGGGCUACACACGUGCUACAAUGGUCUGAACAGAGGGCUGCGAAACCGCGAGGUGAAGCUAAUCCCUUAAAACAGAUCUCAGUUCGGAUUGCAGGCUGCAACUCGCCUGCAUGAAGUUGGAGUUGCUAGUAAUCGCAGAUCAGAAUGCUGCGGUGAAUGCGUUCCCGGGUCUU
Molecule: ribosomal RNA, 445 nt
Filed under: uncultured Acetobacterium sp.
Lineage: Bacteria; Bacillati; Bacillota; Clostridia; Eubacteriales; Eubacteriaceae
Description: bacterial SSU rRNA
Rfam family: Bacterial small subunit ribosomal RNA
Source: RNAcentral